GAUGUUUGGCGUGGUGCAGUGGUAAGAUCCUUGUCUCGGAACCGUCUGGUCCAAAGUUCGAAUCCUAGGCAAAAGGCAUUUUUUUUCCUACUUUUAUUUUUUUAUUUUAUUUCGUAUUAAUAAUUUUACAUAACCUUAAAAUGACCUCUGUCAAUUUUUAAUCAAAUAUUGAUCAGGAACUACAUAAUUUUCGACUACAGGGCGUCACACUACAGAGAACAGAACGACAGUCACAACGUCCCAAAAUACGACAGACUGAAAAUUUGCUGUUGUGUUUUUCAAGUGGGUGAGACGUCUAUACGGCGUAUACGCAGAUUGCUGUCCUCUCUAUUAAAAGCAACGUUGCUGAAACACGUCGUACAAGACGCUGUACGACUCGCAUAACAUCGAAAUACAACGCCGUCACCAUCCAUGAGAUCACCGAAAGCACGGUCGCUUUCGGUGGCGGCCUACAGAUGGCAGCACAGGUAGCGCCGGUAAAGUUACAGGUGAUAUUAUUUUGCCGUCCUCAGUUGUCGCCACAUGUGAGUGCUUGCUGCAUUGACGCCGUCCGAUGUAGUUGUUUAAUCGUGUGUACGCUGUGCCGAGAGAAAUUGUGGUGCAUUUUGUAUGCAUUGAGAAUCACAAAACCCCUGGGACCGCGUAAUGUAGCCCGCAGUAUCCUUCGUGUGGUGCGCCGAUGUCGAAGAUAUGACCCUUCGCGCUUCCUUUGUUCCGGGCUCAUGAACAGGAUCUCCUCCUCUGGCACUGUCGCAUCGUAUCGCGCUGUACGGGAGAAUUUGGUGAAAGUUGUGCUCUUACGUCCUGUAGUUGAUCCGCAAUUCAACAGUGUGUGCGCCGGAAGGACCGUUGGUGCAGUCGAUGCCGCGGCACCUGUGACGCUAAAAGGAGCGUUUUCCGAGUACGCCUAGAAAGGGAUGGCAAGAUUUUGUGAACCAGAGGCACCUCCACAUAUGCACCUGCGGCACUUCUGCAGCCUCAACAGCACACGGAAAAGUACCUGAUGUGCAUGCUGUGACAAGCUGCUGUAGGUAUGGCUGGACCUGGAGAAGAAGUGUAAGCAGACCAUGCUAUGUUGCUGAUCUGCGCUGAUCUCCACAUCCAAGUUGGUCCCGCGACAGUUGGGCACCAUUGUGCCUUGCUUCAUUGACAAGGUGAUAUAAUAUGGUGCCCUGCUCGCUCUCACCCAAGCAACCCACUCCAGCGGUCUUCUCUCGGCAGACUGGAUGCAUCGAAAUACCGUUAGAACGUCCAAUAAACAGUGCUUGGGACAUUUAUGACAUGCUUUUUUUUAAGCCGGAUGACUUCAGGCUUAAUGAAAGCUCAAGUUGGUGUACAGAAAUACCUACGUAAAGUAUACUUGUCUUUUUCACUUACAAGUACAUGCCAAUACUUUGCCUGACAUUUUUCACCCCAAAAUUAUGCUUUACUGUGGAUUUGUGAACAAACCAUUACAACAAAAAGCACUGCAUUAAAACGAGUACAAGUAAUCGAACAAAUACUAAAUCUGCAAGAAUUACAUUUGCAUACUAGUAGUAAAUAUGAAAAUGAGGUGCAGUCUUCUUCAGGGUGCAUUUUCUUGUAGGUCAUACAUAGAGAACGUACUCGUGGGUCAUACAAAACUUGUUCAUGAUGUAUCACAUCAGUGUUGGUAGUGCUAAUCAAUUUAUGCCGAAAAUUGUGUUUAUCUUCGUAUCAAGCAAUGUACCAGGCAAACCUACAUGUGAAAGUGGCAUUCUUGUUGCAAACAUAAUGCAGAUCUACUUCUCUUCAAUGCUGAUCGCAAAUACACAAAUGUACAAAAUAGGUUUAAGAGUAAAUUAUAUUAAGCAACAUCAAUCCAUUCUGAAAGGACCAGGUAUGAAUGCAGCAAAAUAUAGGUCUGAACAGGGGCAAACAGGUCUGGGUUAGAUAGGACGGGAUUAAACGGGUCAGGAUUAAACAGGAUUUAAACGGGUCAGGAUCAAACAGGAUUUAAACGGGUCAGGUUUAAACAGGAUAUAAACGGGUCAGGUUUAAACAGGAAUAAACAGGAUUUAAACAGGUCAGGACUGAACAGGAUCAAACGGGGUCCCGUUCCAUAACCCUAUUUGAUGAAACCCGUUUGAAAACAAAUAGGAUUUUCUA
Dermacentor andersoni is the source of this 2127-nucleotide long non-coding RNA. RefSeq lists it as uncharacterized. NCBI's taxonomy places the organism in Eukaryota, Metazoa, Arthropoda, Arachnida, Ixodida, Ixodidae. The record is from RefSeq and is a predicted model, not a curated record.